UACGUAGGGUGCAGGCGUUAAUCGGAAUUACUGGGCGUAAAGCGUGCGCAGGCGGUCUGCUAAGAGAGAUGUGAAAUCCCCGGGCUUAACCUGGGAACUGCGUUUCUAACUGGCAGGCUUGAGUGUGGCAGAGGGGGGUGGAAUUCCACGUGUAGCAGUGAAAUGCGUAGAUAUUGCUCGGAAGGCCGGAGCCGAAGGGGCCCUACUGGUACGUAACUGACGCUGAGGCACAAAAGCGUGGGGAGCAAACAGG
RNAcentral lists this ribosomal RNA (253 nucleotides) under uncultured bacterium. Its description in RNAcentral is "partial 16S ribosomal RNA". It matches the Rfam family "Bacterial small subunit ribosomal RNA", at positions 524 to 776 of the family's 1533-position model. The record is from RNAcentral.